This 802-nucleotide ribosomal RNA is filed under the name uncultured Microvirga sp. RNAcentral describes it as "bacterial SSU rRNA". It matches the Rfam family "Bacterial small subunit ribosomal RNA", at positions 745 to 1529 of the family's 1533-position model. Lineage: Bacteria; Pseudomonadati; Pseudomonadota; Alphaproteobacteria; Hyphomicrobiales; Methylobacteriaceae. The record is from RNAcentral.
GGAGAGGCGAGAAAAGCGUUGGGGAGCAUACCAGGGAUUAGGUACCCUUGGUUAGUCCACGCCGUAAACGAUUAAUUCCCAGCCCGUUGGGACAGCUUGCUGUCUCAGUGGCGCAGCUAACGCUUUAAGCAUUCCGCCUGGGGGAGUACGGUCGCAAGGAUUAAAACUCAAAGGAAAUGACGGGGGCCCGCACAAAGCGGUGGGAGCAUGUGGUUUAAUUCGAAGCAACGCGCAGAACCUUACCAGCCUUUUGACAUGUCCGGUAUGGAUCCUGGAGACAGGUUCCUUCAGUUCGGCUGGCCGGAACACAGGUGCUGCAUGGCUGUCGUCAGCUCGUGUCGUGAGAUGUUUGGGUUAAGUCCCGCAACGAGCGCAACCCUCGCCCUUAGUUGCCAUCAUUCAGUUGGGCACUCUAAGGGGACUGCCGGUGAUAAGCCGAGAGGAAGGUGGGGAUGACGUCAAGUCCUCAUGGCCCUUACGGGCUGGGCUACACACGUGCUACAAUGGCGGUGACAAUGGGCAGCGAACCCGCGAGGGGGAGCUAAUCCCAAAGAGCCGUCUCAGUUCGGAUUGCACUCUGCAACUCGAGUGCAUGAAGGUGGAAUCGCUAGUAAUCGUGGAUCAGAACGCCACGGUGAAUACGUUCCCGGGCCUUGUACACACCGCCCGUCACACCAUGGGAGUUGGUCUUACCCGACGGCGCUGCGCCAACCGCAAGGAGGCAGGCGACCACGGUAGGGUCAGCGACUGGGGUGAAGUCGUAACAAGGUAGCCGUAGGGGAACCUGCGGCUGGAUCACCUC